This 813-nucleotide long non-coding RNA is filed under the name Canis lupus dingo (dingo). RNAcentral describes it as "lncRNA (ENSCAFG00020002600.1)". The stretch from base 60 to 162 matches the Rfam family "WT1 antisense RNA conserved region 1". Lineage: Eukaryota; Metazoa; Chordata; Mammalia; Carnivora; Canidae. The record is from RNAcentral.
UGGGGUGGGGUGGGGUGGGGUGGGGUGGGGGCGGGCCCGAGGGAGCGCACCUCGGGGAGACACCCUCCUCUCCUGCCGGCCUGCGGGACACGGCCCUCCCCCACCUCCCCUGCUCGGCCGUCGCAGGUGUGGGCGCCUCCGGGCCCUGGCUAGCCCGUUCAGGGUCUCUUUUACAUUGGUUAGUUGAGCCAACUCUUUCCAACCUGGACUGCUGACCUGUGACCUCCCAUUAUUCAAACCAAGGCUGACCUAUGUGGGCAUCUGGAGACCCUUGGCCUUGUUGCUUCACUUAUCCGCAUCACCUUCUGAAAUCAAGAUACUUCAUCAAGUCAGUGAAGCUCAGGAUUGACCAACAGAUGCAUGAACAGGAGCUGGAAAAAAUUAUGGAAGAGAGACUGGAAGAGCGAUGGCUGGUGUGCAGAGCCUGCAUCACAUCUCUAUGGGGACUGUGCCAGGAAGCAAGGGUGGAAGAGAAGCUUCCCAUGCCUGGUUUAUAAAUAUGGCCUUGAAAAUGUCCACAGACGUAUUGUUGUCUUGUUGAGUCUGCAGCCAGGAAGGCAGAAAUCACUGUGGCAAAGCAGGUGUGAACGUCCCCCUACUUCAGAGGCAGCUCUCUUUGAAGCUGGAAAAUCAAGGACGCUGGUACCUUCAAGGAAACAAGGAUAUAAUUAUCACAACCCCCAACUGGCCAGUGACCUUCCAUUCCUCAGGCCACCCUACUCCCUUCGCUGGCACCAGCCCAGGUCCUCACAGACUCAGCUCUGUGUCCCAGACCGCUCAGACCCAGGAGCAACCCCCUCAUGCACCCUUUGA